RNAcentral lists this ribosomal RNA (301 nucleotides) under uncultured bacterium. RNAcentral's name for it is "partial 16S ribosomal RNA". It matches the Rfam family "Bacterial small subunit ribosomal RNA", at positions 509 to 807 of the family's 1533-position model. The record is from RNAcentral.
CAGCAGCCGCGGUAAUACAGAGGGUGCGAGCGUUAAUCGGAUUUACUGGGCGUAAAGCGUGCGUAGGCGGCUUUUUAAGUCGGAUGUGAAAUCCCUAAGCUUAACUUAGGAAUUGCAUUCGAUACUGGGAAGCUAGAGUAUGGGAGAGGAUGGUAGAAUUCCAGGUGUAGCGGUGAAAUGCGUAGAGAUCUGGAGGAAUACCGAUGGCGAAGGCAGCCAUCUGGCCUAAUACUGACGCUGAGGUACGAAAGCAUGGGGAGCAAACAGGAUUAGAUACCCCCGUAGUCCCUGUCUCUUAUAC